Molecule: ribosomal RNA, 325 nt
Filed under: uncultured eukaryote
Lineage: Eukaryota
Description: partial 18S ribosomal RNA
Rfam family: Eukaryotic small subunit ribosomal RNA
Source: RNAcentral
CCCUUAGAUGUUCUGGGCCGCACGCGCGCUACACUGAUGCAUUCAACGAGCCUAUCCUUGACCGACAGGUCCGGGUAAUCUUUGAAUCUGCAUCGUGACGAGGAUAGAUUAUUGCAAUUAUUAAUCUUCAACGAGGAAUGCCUAGUAGGCGCAAGUCAUCAGCUUGCGUCGAUUACGUCCCUGCCCUUUGUACACACCGCCCGUCGCUCCUACCGAUUGGGUGUGCUGGUGAAAUGUUCGGAUCGGCCGUUUGUCGCGGUUUCCGCGGCUCGUGGCUGAGAAGUUCAUUAAACCCUCCCACCUAGAGGAAGGAGAAGUCGUAACA